Molecule: ribosomal RNA, 253 nt
Filed under: uncultured bacterium
Lineage: Bacteria
Description: partial 16S ribosomal RNA
Rfam family: Bacterial small subunit ribosomal RNA
Source: RNAcentral
UACAGAGGAGCCAAGCGUUGUCCGGAUUGACUGGGCGUAAAGCGCACGCAGGCGGACGCGCGCGUGGGGUGUGAAAUCUGGCCGCUUAACGGCCAGGCGCCAUCCCAUACGGCGCGUCUGGAGUGAUGCAGAGGUCGAUGGAAUUGCCGGUGUAGUGGUGAAAUGCGUAGAGAUCGGCAGGAACACCCAGGGGGGAACCAGUCGACUGGGCAUCUACUGACGCUGAGGUGCGAGAGCGUGGGGAGCGAACCGG